GUACGGGGGGGGCAAGCGUUGUUCGGAAUUACUGGGCGUAAAGGGUUCGUAGGUGGCUCGCUAAGUCACACGUGAAAAUCCCCUCAGCUUAACUGGGGAACUGCGUGUGAGACUGGCAAGCUCGAGUGCAGGAGAGGAAUGCGGAAUUCCAGGUGUAGCGGUGAAAUGCGUAGAUAUCUGGAGGAACACCGGUGGCGAAGGCGGCUGACUGGACACAUAUUGACGCUGAGGCUCGAAAGCAUGGGGAGCAAACAGG
RNAcentral lists this ribosomal RNA (256 nucleotides) under uncultured bacterium. Its description in RNAcentral is "partial 16S ribosomal RNA". It matches the Rfam family "Bacterial small subunit ribosomal RNA", at positions 523 to 776 of the family's 1533-position model. The record is from RNAcentral.